This 405-nucleotide ribosomal RNA is filed under the name Triticum aestivum (bread wheat). Its description in RNAcentral is "partial small subunit ribosomal RNA". The record is from RNAcentral. Lineage: Eukaryota; Viridiplantae; Streptophyta; Magnoliopsida; Poales; Poaceae.
AUGCCCUCUGCUGCUCCCCGUUGCCUUCCGUCGACCGAGCUCGACCGCGCACGCGUCCGCGGCUCCGGCCACGCGUCCGCGGCGACGGCCAGCUCGGCACCUCACCCCCGCCUAUAUAAUGGCCCUCCUUGCUGCCCCCGAGCACCGCAUCGCCCUCAACUCACUCACAGCAGCCUCCCCGACCACUCCCCGGAGCUCGAGCCGCCCUCUUCGCCUCUAUUUGCCACCAUGGCCACCGCUCUCUCCGGCUUAAAUUCCAGCGAGCCCGAGCCCCAUUCCCUCUUCCACCACCACCUGAAGACCCCCCGUAGUCCGGCGAGCCGCCCCGCCCCCUUUUCUCUUCACCAUACCACCGGUGGCCUCGUCUCCAACCUCGGCCGAAGUCCACCCCAGCCGGAGUCCUAG